RNAcentral lists this transfer RNA (31 nucleotides) under Radula hicksiae. Its description in RNAcentral is "partial tRNA-Gly". Lineage: Eukaryota; Viridiplantae; Streptophyta; Jungermanniopsida; Radulales; Radulaceae. The record is from RNAcentral.
UUUAGUGGUAAAAUUAGCCUUCCAAGCUAAG